RNAcentral lists this long non-coding RNA (455 nucleotides) under Hordeum vulgare. Its description in RNAcentral is "long non-coding RNA (HVUL_LNC010076)". The record is from RNAcentral. Lineage: Eukaryota; Viridiplantae; Streptophyta; Magnoliopsida; Poales; Poaceae.
UGUUCCCCAUCCUCCCCCUCUUCUUCUCCGGACUCCUCCUCCGUCUCUCCACUGUGGGAGACGUACUCAACACUCUCCACGCUGCCCUCCUGGCUACCUUCCUCUGCCUGCACGAGAUGCAGUCGACAACAUCAGACGUCGGACAGUAGUACAAGAAAAAGCGAUAAACCUAAGACAAUUGGGUGCACUCGACAAGUUAUACUCACCUCAUUCGGAGGAGGGUUGUCCGCACGGAAGGGCUUCACUCGCCGAGAUCCUCUGGGAUUAUCGCAGGCGCCUGUGAUAUUGAGGACCCACGACGCCACGAGCUCCCCAAUCACGGACUCGGGGUUAGUCCGAGUGGAGUCCUCACGCCCCGUGUAGUGCCACAUGGCGUGGUGUCGAGCUUGCAAAGGCUGGAUACGCCGACCCAGAAAAACCUCCAGCAAAUCUAUGCCGGUGACUCCCUUUCGGAC